This is a non-coding RNA of Kogia breviceps (pygmy sperm whale), 413 nucleotides long. The record is from RefSeq and is a predicted model, not a curated record. NCBI's taxonomy places the organism in Eukaryota, Metazoa, Chordata, Mammalia, Artiodactyla, Physeteridae.
ACGUGCCUGACCCGGAGGCUCCCGCUAUUCCUGCAGGACUGGCUGGCACUGCGUGUUACCCUUGGCAGUCCUGCCCAGAACAGCCUAGUUGCAACAGCAGCACUGAGGGUGAAUGAAGGCUUCCUGGAGGAAGAUGGCUCCAUCCCUCUGUACAGUUCUCACCCCUAGGAAGGGAGAGGGGCUUGGUUCAGAGGCCCCCCCAUGUAAGGGCCUGUAUUUGACUCCGACCUUCCUGUGUCCCUUGCUGCCACAUGGGGAGCCAGCCUGGGUCGGUCGUUCCAGGUGCUGAGCCCAAAAGCCACUGCACCCUCUACCAGCGUUUGGAACUGGCUGUGCCUUGUCUCCUCCUAGCCACUGUCCUUGGGAGGAGAGCCUUUUCCAACUUUCUUCAAAAAAUUAAAUAGUCAUCUGUC